GAUCAUGUUUAAGUACAGAAGGUUCUUGAACUUUCAUUGAUGCAGUGGCUCUUCGCUUUGUUGACAAUGAAAUGUUCUACACUUUCUUUAAAAACAAAUGGUUUAAAAACUACCACACUUAACUGAAAAAAAAGCAAAAACAAAAAGUAAAUACUUUUCAAGCCAGCUGACCACCUUUUGUUCACAGCUAGGAAUGGUAGCAGAAUGCUAUGUGGUUAGAUACAGAAACAAGACAACCUGAAGCUAAAUGGAUGCCCAGUGCAUAGUCAACAGGCCCAGCCUCACAGUGCACAGCCUGAGCUACGGCCACUCCCAGAGGCAUCUUCUACCACAGCCUCAACAUCAAGCAAAGAGCAUCAAGAGUUUGUCUUGGUUGUUUUGUUCGUUUUACAAACUAUGGAUAUAUGCAAUUGAUAACUCAGGAUUUCUAGCUAAUAACCAUGUAGUUAACACUACCUUACAAAUUAAAAAAAAAAAAAUGCCAGAAGCACCUUUAAAUGCCUUAUCACACUAACAGCAAAGCACACAGAGUGAGGAGAGCAUGAAGUUGCCUUUUCAUUUUAAAAAUAUUUGGAAAUAUGUACAACUUUGAUAUAGUUUCAGGGUGCUCUAGACCCACUUGACCACUUCAUGUAAAGAGUUUCUAGUUUGAGAAACAACAAUAUGAUCAUAAUCAAACUUUGUAAUUAAAACUAAUGAGGGCAACAGAUACUUCUCAAAUAAGAGAUGUGUCAAUUACAGCUCUCCCCUACUUCAAGGCAGGUGUCCCCAACCCCUGGGCCAUAGAUAGAUACCAGUCAGUGGCCUGUUAGGAACCAGGCCACACAGCAGGAGGUGAGUGGCAAGUGAGCAAAGCUUCAUCUGUAUUUACAACCACUCCCCAUGGCUCACAUUACCAUCUGAGCUCCGCCUCCUGUCAGAUCAGCAGCAGCUCUCAUAGGAGAGCAAACCCUGUUGUAAACUGUGCAUACGAGGGAUCUAGUUUACCUGCUUCUUAUGAGAAUCUAACUAAUGCCUGAUGAUCUGUCACUGCCUCCCAUCACCCCCAGAAAGACUGUCUAGUUGAAGGAAAACAAGCUCUGGGCUCCCACUGAUUCUACGUUAUGAGGAAUUUCUCAAGAUUUUAUCUUUACUGAUUGAUUUCUAAGGGAUGCUACUUGCUUCUAACAUCAUGUUAAUCAGCAAUGUAAGCUCUGGCAUAGCUUACCAACCCUAAGAGUGGCAGGGAGUUGCUCUGUGUAAUGGUGGAGUACUCAGCUGUCUUCUCCAUGGUGGUUGAGUUCUCUGGAUGGGAUCAGCUUUCUUCACAUGUCACUGAAGUGAAAGGGGACAAUUGAAACCUAUUUUGACAGGUUUAAAAGCUAAAGCCAAGCCAGGAAGAGGAAGACAAGAUGAGAAACCCCAAAUCAAGGUAAGAGAAGAAAAUAAGUGCAACAUGCCAGAAAUCCAGUAAAGCAGUUCAAGUAUCAGAAGAGCGUGAAUCAAAACCAAGUGCAAGAAGAGGCACCUUGACAUUGAACUGAAGGCCACCAGGUACUCACUGGGUCAAUGACUCUUCUCAUUUUUAUUCUCCUGCCAGUGCUUCCAAUCGCUGAACUGAACUGGGAACAAAUCAACAAGGGAAACCAAGAGAUGCAUUCCUUGAAGUUCAGCCUCCAGGCCUCAAGUAAGGCAGAGGAAGAGAAUACAUAGAUCUGUGGAGAAGAGUGGUGAUGGUGGGAGCUGCCAAUAAAGAACUAUCAAAAAAGGAUGAUGCAACAGAAAAGCCGUCACCAGAUACCAGCACCUUAAUGUUGGACUUCUCAGCCUCCAGAACUGAGACCUCAAGGCACAAAGCAAAAGAAGAAUGAAUUUCAUCAUGGGAAUAUACAAAGCAAGGCAUUAACAUCUAUAGUUAAAUAAGUCAGCAUCAAACUUCUUGCUGUACCACCCACCAUUUCACACAGUUCAGCUAGCUGACUCGUUCAUACUUUAAGGCUAAUCAGAAUAAAUUAAUGAUUCAUCACUAAUAAAGAUGCAGAGUGUGUACCUUUAUUCUUCAGUAGGGUAACGUGACCCUUCUGAGUACUUCUGGAGCAAAUGUGUAUGAAGUGCUAGGUUUUUUGUCACUAAGUCUAUGUACUCAGAAAAGACACAAAUUUUCAGUAUUCUGGUUUACCACUUGCCAGGCAAAGGAAACUGUAAAUAAAUGUUUCACCACAUAUUUAUGUGAAAAAAAUUAAUUGGUGGAUGGGCUUUGUUGUGAUUCUUAAUAAUAAUGAAUCAUAGUUUUACACAUAUAGUAGGAUGAAGCAUUUGAGAUUUGAUUCUAGCAUUUCUGUCUAUGUGUUUAUAAUUUAUCCAAUGGAAGUAUUAAAAGAAAAGCUUUUUGGGAGGCCUUAUUUGAGUUCAGAAGUCUCACACGCACUUCUGUCAAGUGAUGUAAUAGGAAUGUGUUUAAGAUCAGCAGAUGAUAUAUUGAGUGUAAACAUAAUGUGCUCAUGAUGAAAGCCAAAACACUAAUUUAAUUGAUUGGAAGAAAACAGAAAUUCACCAGGAGUCAAAAUCCCAAAUAAGAGGUCCGUGUUUUCAAGGCUUAUUUUAAUAGUAUUAACUACUUCAACAAAUUAUUUUUCUUUGCUUUUUUCCAUUCACUUAAAAAUAUUUAAUGGUUUUAUUGAACUAUAUUUUACAUAUAAAAUUCGCCCGUUGAAAAUAUGCAACUUGAUGAUUUUUAGUAAAAUUUAGAAUUGUGCAAAUAUGAUAGAUUCCAUUUUAGAUAAUUUCUGUCAUUCUAAAAAGAUCUUUAAUGUCCAUUUUUAGUGAAAUCUGCUCCCACCCCCAGUCCCAGCAAACACUGAUAAAAUUUUCAUCUACUUAUUUUUGCUUUUCCUAGAAAUUUCAUAUAAAAAGUGUGGUUUGCAAAAUAAAAUCCCCUGCACUUGUGAAUGUUAUAUCACAUUGGAAAGGGGACUUCGCCAACGUAAAUUGCGUACAAAUGCGGAGAUUAUCCAGGACUAUCUGGAUGGGCCCAAUGUAAUCAAUUCAGCCCUUAAAAGCACAGAAACUUUCUCAGCUGGGUCAGAGAGAUACAAUAAUGGAAGAAGAGUCAGAGAGAUGCAAUGCAAGAAAGACUCAGUCUGCCAUUGAUGGCUUUGAAGUUAGAGGAAGGGAGCCAUGAGUCAAGAAAUGGAGGGGACCUCUAGAAGGGAACAGUCAGAGAAAUAGAUUACCCUCUAGAGCCUCCAGAAAGAGACACGGCCCUGUCAAUUUAGCUUAGUGAGACCCAUGUCAGGCUUAUGGCCUCCAAAAUGAUAAGAUAAUACAUUUGUAUUGUUUUAUGUCAUUAAGUUUGUAGGAAUUAUUAUGGUAGCAAUAUAAAACUCAUAGAAAUGACUUCUUUCAUUUUGUAUUAUUUUGAGAUGCAUUCAUUUUGUUGCAUGGAUCAUUCUAUUUUAUUGCUGAGUAUCAUUCUAUUGUAUUGACACCAAACUUUGUUUUUCCAAUCACCUGUUGGUGGGCAUUUGGGUCGUUUCCAGUUUUUGGCUAUUGUAAGUGAUGAUUUUAUAAACAUUUAUGUACAAAUCUUUUUGUGGAUAUCUAAAUAUAUGAUUCUGUUUCUCUUGGAUAAAUACCUAAGAUUAGAAUUGCUGAGUCAUAUGGUAAAGGGAUACUUAACUUUUAAAACCUCCCAAACUGUUCUUCAAAAUGGUUGUGCCAUUUUACAUCCCCACCAAUAAUGUAUAAAGGUUCCAGUUUCUCGAAAUAUUUGCCAACACUUGGUAUGGUCAGUCUUUUUGAUUCUAGUCAUUCUAGUGGGUAUAUAAUGAUAUCUCAUUGUAAUUUUAAUUUGCAUUAUCCUAAUGACUGAUGAUGUUGAGCAUGUCUUCAUUUGGUGUUU
RNAcentral lists this long non-coding RNA (3880 nucleotides) under Homo sapiens (human). RNAcentral's name for it is "HSALNT0336607". Lineage: Eukaryota; Metazoa; Chordata; Mammalia; Primates; Hominidae. The record is from RNAcentral.